ACGAACGCUGGCGGCGUGCUUAACACAUGCAAGUCGAACGGUGAAGCGCCUUCCUUUUUGGUGGGUGUGGAUGAGUGGCGAACGGGUGAGUAACACGUGAGUAACCUGCCCCCUUCUUCUGGAUAACCGCAUGAAAGUGUGGCUAAUACGGGAUAUUCUGGGUCUGUCGCAUGAUGGGUCUGGGAAAGAUAUUGUUUCGGUGGGGGAUGGGCUCGCGGCCUAUCAGCUUGUUGGUGGGGUGAUGGCCUACCAAGGCGGUGACGGGUAGCCGGCCUGAGAGGGUGGACGGUCACACUGGGACUGAGACACGGCCCAGACUCCUACGGGAGGCAGCAGUGGGGAAUAUUGCACAAUGGGCGCAAGCCUGAUGCAGCGACGCCGCGUGAGGGAUGGAGGCCUUCGGGUUGUGAACCUCUUUCGCCAGUGAAGCAGGCCUGCCUCGUUUGUGGGUGGGUUGACGGUAGCUGGAUAAGAAGCGCCGGCUAACUACGCG
This 493-nucleotide ribosomal RNA is filed under the name uncultured bacterium. RNAcentral's name for it is "partial 16S ribosomal RNA". It matches the Rfam family "Bacterial small subunit ribosomal RNA", at positions 29 to 507 of the family's 1533-position model. The record is from RNAcentral.